RNAcentral lists this ribosomal RNA (468 nucleotides) under uncultured bacterium. RNAcentral describes it as "partial 16S ribosomal RNA". It matches the Rfam family "Bacterial small subunit ribosomal RNA", at positions 28 to 507 of the family's 1533-position model. The record is from RNAcentral.
GACGAACGCUGGCGGCGUGCUUAACACAUGCAAGUCGAACGGAAAGGCCCUGCUUUUGUGGGGUGCUCGAGUGGCGAACGGGUGAGUAACACGUGAGUAACCUGCCCUUGACUUUGGGAUAACUUCAGGAAACUGGGGCUAAUACCGGAUAGGAGCUCCUGCUGCAUGGUGGGGGUUGGAUAGUUUCGGCGGUUGGGGAUGGACUCGCGGCUUAUCAGCUUGUUGGUGGGGUAGUGGCUUACCAAGGCUUUGACGGGUAGCCGGCCUGAGAGGGUGACCGGCCACAUUGGGACUGAGAUACGGCACAGACUCCUACGGGAGGCAGCAGUGGAGAAUAUUGCACAAUGGGCGGAAGCCUGAUGCAGCAACGCCGCGUGCGGGAUGACGGCCUUCGGGUUGUAAACCGAUUUCGCCUGUGACGAAGCGUGAGUGACGGUAAUGGGUAAAGAAGCACCGGCUAACUACGUG